GUAGCUUAGUGGUAGAGUGCUUGCCUACCAUGCAUGAGGCCCUGGGUUCAAUCCCCAGC
This 59-nucleotide transfer RNA is filed under the name Heterocephalus glaber (naked mole-rat). It matches the Rfam family "tRNA", at positions 7 to 64 of the family's 71-position model. From Rfam's summary of the family: Transfer RNA (tRNA) molecules are approximately 80 nucleotides in length. Their secondary structure includes four short double-helical elements and three loops (D, anti-codon, and T loops). Further hydrogen bonds mediate the characteristic L-shaped molecular structure. tRNAs have two regions of fundamental functional importance: the anti-codon, which is responsible for specific mRNA codon recognition, and the 3' end, to which the tRNAs corresponding amino acid is attached (by aminoacyl-tRNA synthetases). tRNAs cope with the degeneracy of the genetic code in two manners: having more than one tRNA (with a specific anti-codon) for a particular amino acid; and 'wobble' base-pairing, i.e. permitting non-standard base-pairing at the 3rd anti-codon position. The record is from Rfam by way of RNAcentral. Lineage: Eukaryota; Metazoa; Chordata; Mammalia; Rodentia; Bathyergidae.